AUUUUGAGAUCAGUGAGGAUGACCACCCACGCACGGUCACUCACGCCGGCAAUAACUGAUGAACUUUAGACUUCGCUAAGGGGCGGACCAUUAGAAAAGUGAUGGGGGAGGGGCAAAAGCAAAAAUAAAAAUCGAGCAGGGGAAACAGAAAAAAAAAUCGUGCACCAGAAAAGUUUGAAAAACAAAUUUGUGCAGAGACUUUUCAAUAGGGAAAAUUAUAAGUUGACAG
Paramuricea clavata is the source of this 229-nucleotide non-coding RNA. The record is from the annotation of a GenBank genome assembly. NCBI's taxonomy places the organism in Eukaryota, Metazoa, Cnidaria, Anthozoa, Malacalcyonacea, Plexauridae.